Molecule: ribosomal RNA, 331 nt
Filed under: Actinomycetes bacterium
Lineage: Bacteria; Bacillati; Actinomycetota; Actinomycetes
Description: partial 23S ribosomal RNA
Rfam family: Bacterial large subunit ribosomal RNA
Source: RNAcentral
UACGCGAGCUGGGUUCAGAACGUCGUGAGACAGUUCGGUCCCUAUCCUCCGCAGCCGAAGGUGUAUUGAGGAAGGCUGUCCCUAGUACGAGAGGACCGGGACGGACGGAGCUCUGGUGUGUCUGUUGUCCUGCCAAGGGCACGGCAGAUUAGCCACCUCCGGAAGGGAUAACUGCUGAAAGCAUCUAAGUAGGAAACCCGUUCCAAGAUGAGUACACCCAUGCGGUUAACGCAGUAAGGCCCGUGACUAGACCAUCACGUUGAUAGGCCGGAAGUGUAAGCACGGCAACGUGUUGAGCUGACCGGUACUAAUCGGCCGAGGGCUUGGUUGA